UCUCGACAUAGGUUUAAUUAAAGGCUCUGUGUAUUUGGCAUUUCGCUCUGUUCCUACGAGUGCACGGGUUAAGAACAUCAAUUGGAAGCCAUGCAAAUGCCCGAGACAACCGGGAGGUCAUGAAGGUGGAUAUUAUGUCAUGCGAUACAUGUAUGACAUCGUGACAAAAUAUUCAUCUGUUGA
This is a long non-coding RNA of Ipomoea nil (Japanese morning glory), 183 nucleotides long. RefSeq lists it as uncharacterized. The record is from RefSeq and is a predicted model, not a curated record. The transcript has 3 exons. NCBI's taxonomy places the organism in Eukaryota, Viridiplantae, Streptophyta, Magnoliopsida, Solanales, Convolvulaceae.